Long non-coding RNA from Mesocricetus auratus (golden hamster), 460 nucleotides. RefSeq lists it as uncharacterized. The transcript has 3 exons. Lineage: Eukaryota; Metazoa; Chordata; Mammalia; Rodentia; Cricetidae. The record is from RefSeq and is a predicted model, not a curated record.
UGUGUAGAGUCCCUUGAGGCCACAAAACUAUGAGCCCAUGAGGAUUCUAAGACUCAACACAGCGUUGAAGCUCAGACACUCAAGCCAUGCUGUUUUAGGGAACCUUGGGUCUAUUCAAAAGUAGGCUGAGUGAAGAAAGGCAUGUCCUAGACUUCAGAGCCUGUUUGGUGGCACUCAGCUGUUCCAAUCUCAACAUCAGCAUCCUUGUGAAUCACGUGGUGACAUCAGAGGAGUCUCAUCCCAUACUGGUGGAGAACCUGCACGAAAACGAACUUCCGGUCACUUACUGGGUUCCAUAUUUGGCAAAGAAGAUGAGAAAUCAUAUUUCCAAAAAAGGGACUGAGGUGAUAACAGCUCUUGGAAAUCCCCUUGAUAGAACUCAGCAAGGCACGUUGUAGAAUGCGGGUUGAGUCAUAUUAUUUUUCAAUUCAGCUCGACAGGAAAUUACAGAUCGCCAAUG